This 379-nucleotide ribosomal RNA is filed under the name uncultured eukaryote. Its description in RNAcentral is "partial 18S ribosomal RNA". It matches the Rfam family "Eukaryotic small subunit ribosomal RNA", at positions 592 to 976 of the family's 1831-position model. The record is from RNAcentral.
CAAUAGCGUAUAUUAAAGUUGUUGCGGUAAAAAAGCUCGUAGUUGGAUUUCUGUUGAGAGCGACCGGUCCAUACCAUGUAUGCGUAUCUGGCUUGCUCUCGGCAUCCUCUCGAUAGACGUUACUGCGCUUGAUUGCGUGGUGCGGAUCUCGGGACUUUUACUUUGAGGAAAUUAGAGUGUUCACGGCAGGCUUUCGCCAGAAUACAUUAGCAUGGAAUAAUACUAUAGGAUCUUGGUUCUAUUUUGUUGGUUUCUAGAAUUGAGAUAAUGAUUAAUAGGGACAAUUGGGGGCAUUCGUAUCAACACGUCAGAGGUGGAAUUCUUGGAUUGUGUUGCGACGAACUACUGCGAAAGCAUUUGCCGAGGAUGUUUUCAUUGA